This 194-nucleotide unclassified non-coding RNA is filed under the name Phyllactinia taurica. RNAcentral describes it as "Leveillula taurica miscellaneous RNA". Lineage: Eukaryota; Fungi; Ascomycota; Leotiomycetes; Helotiales; Erysiphaceae. The record is from RNAcentral.
AUAACAACCCGUCGAGCCGACUAGGCUUGGUCUUGGGGCUCGCCCGCAUUCGGCGCGGCGGCUCUUAAACGCAGUGGCGGUGCCGGUGGUGCUUUCCGCGUAGUCACAUUUCUCGCGCGAGGGCAGAAUCCGGACCCAGCCAGCAACCACAAAGUCCGCUGCGCUCUGCGCGGCGACUUUUGUACUUCUUCUGG